This 536-nucleotide ribosomal RNA is filed under the name Bifidobacterium longum. RNAcentral describes it as "bacterial SSU rRNA". It matches the Rfam family "Bacterial small subunit ribosomal RNA", at positions 163 to 713 of the family's 1533-position model. Lineage: Bacteria; Bacillati; Actinomycetota; Actinomycetes; Bifidobacteriales; Bifidobacteriaceae. The record is from RNAcentral.
GUAAUGCCGGAUGCUCCAGUUGAUCGCAUGGUCUUCUGGGAAAGCUUUCGCGGUAUGGGAUGGGGUCGCGUCCUAUCAGCUUGACGGCGGGGUAACGGCCCACCGUGGCUUCGACGGGUAGCCGGCCUGAGAGGGCGACCGGCCACAUUGGGACUGAGAUACGGCCCAGACUCCUACGGGAGGCAGCAGUGGGGAAUAUUGCACAAUGGGCGCAAGCCUGAUGCAGCGACGCCGCGUGAGGGAUGGAGGCCUUCGGGUUGUAAACCUCUUUUAUCGGGGAGCAAGCGAGAGUGAGUUUACCCGUUGAAUAAGCACCGGCUAACUACGUGCCAGCAGCCGCGGUAAUACGUAGGGUGCAAGCGUUAUCCGGAAUUAUUGGGCGUAAAGGGCUCGUAGGCGGUUCGUCGCGUCCGGUGUGAAAGUCCAUCGCUUAACGGUGGAUCCGCGCCGGGUACGGGCGGGCUUGAGUGCGGUAGGGGAGACUGGAAUUCCCGGUGUAACGGUGGAAUGUGUAGAUAUCGGAAAAUAACACCACC